Molecule: ribosomal RNA, 775 nt
Filed under: uncultured organism
Description: SSU rRNA
Rfam family: Bacterial small subunit ribosomal RNA
Source: RNAcentral
CGCUGGCGGCGCGCCUAACACAUGCAAGUCGAACGAGCGAGAGAGAGCUUGCUUUCUCAAGCGAGUGGCGAACGGGUGAGUAACGCGUGAGGAACCUGCCUCAAAGAGGGGGACAACAGUUGGAAACGACUGCUAAUACCGCAUAAGCCCACGACCCGGCAUCGGGUAGAGGGAAAAGGAGCAAUCCGCUUUGAGAUGGCCUCGCGUCCGAUUAGCUAGUUGGUGAGGUAACGGCCCACCAAGGCGACGAUCGGUAGCCGGACUGAGAGGUUGAACGGCCACAUUGGGACUGAGACACGGCCCAGACUCCUACGGGAGGCAGCAGUGGGGAAUAUUGCACAAUGGGGGAAACCCUGAUGCAGCGACGCCGCGUGGAGGAAGAAGGUCUUCGGAUUGUAAACUCCUGUUGUUGAGGAAGAUAAUGACGGUACUCAACAAGGAAGUGACGGCUAACUACGUGCCAGCAGCCGCGGUAAAACGUAGGUCACAAGCGUUGUCCGGAAUUACUGGGUGUAAAGGGAGCGCAGGCGGGAAGACAAGUUGGAAGUGAAAUCCAUGGGCUCAACCCAUGAACUGCUUUCAAAACUGUUUUUCUUGAGUAGUGCAGAGGCAGGCGGAAUUCCCGGUGUAGCGGUGGAAUGCGUAGAUAUCGGGAGGAACACCAGUGGCGAAGGCGGCCUACUGGGCACCAACUGACGCUGAGGCUCGAAAGUGUGGGUAGCAAACAGGAUUAGAUACCCUGGUAGUCCCCACUGUAAACGAUGAUUACUAAGUG